RNAcentral lists this long non-coding RNA (1603 nucleotides) under Marmota monax (woodchuck). The record is from RNAcentral. Lineage: Eukaryota; Metazoa; Chordata; Mammalia; Rodentia; Sciuridae.
UGAGAUUAUAGAUUAUAAUCAUAGAUUAUAUUUGGCCCUCAAUAUAAUGUUGAAUGUACUAACAGAAGAUACAGAAGGAGAAAACCCAAAGACACAUGGGAUAAGGCCAGGUGAAAAUUAAAGCAGAGAUUGGAGUGCUGCAUGGAGGAACCAAGGAAGGUCAAGGAUUGCCUGCUGCGGCCACCAUUCACUAGGAGAUAAGGCACGGAAUGGGUCUCCAUCAGAGCCUCUAGGAAAAACUCUGCUGACACCGUGAUUUUGGACUUCUGACUGUGAAAAAUUGUAUUUGUCAUUUUAAGACACUGAGUUUAUGGUGGUUUGUUAUGGAAGCUUCAGGAAGCUAAUAUAAGAGUCUUAAUGCUUCUUAGAAACUAAAAAAGAAGAAAAUAAAAGUAUGUAUGACUGACAAGUCAUUAGGGUAAAGAAUUAGUCAUAGCCUUGUAUAUCCAGUGCCUUCUAGGCCAGUGAGAAGAUUUUCUUCAGAAAUAUGAUAUGAUCAAAUUUGUCUUUUUGAAGGAUCUUUGCUGAGAGCCACAGCCGAGUCAGAAUGGCCCCUGGCGUUUUGCCAAUAGUAUUGGUUGAUAGGCAAGCCAUUAAGAUGAUGCUGGAUUGAUUCGGUUGUAUAUUAGACCUUUACUGUCCACCUCAGCCUGCUACUUUGGUGUUCUCGCGCUACUUUGGAGUUCUCGUGGGGAUUCCCAGAGAGUUCCCAUUGGUUGGGGAAGUGCGGGAGGAGGGAUUUCCGGAAGAGGGAUUUCCGGUUGUUGGUUCCUGGAGGAGCCGCGUGGCAUUCGGGAGAGUUCCCAGGGAGCGUGUGUGGAGUGUGCUGGUGGAGUUCAGAAAUAAAAUUUGUUCCUGCUUCAGUGGCUCAUGAUUUGUGCCCAGCCAGACUGUGGCAUUUGGUGGCCCGUUCGGGGAAUGCCUGAAGCUCAGAGGGAGAACAGCAGCAGAUUUGGAUUCCAGAGAGACUAACCAAAGCGAUUUCUACAGACCAAAAAGAAGAUAUUUGACUCAAAUCCAUAACAGCUGAUAUCCAGAGCUCCAGCUUGGCUAUUCUUACAUCUGCAACAGUGGUUCUCCCACACCUGGAGGCUAAUGAAUAAUGAACACCAUUAAGGCCUAUUUCAAAUGCAAAAAACCUUGAGGCUUGCUUGUGGGAAUACCUUCAGACCUAUAUGCAAGUUUAAAAAAAAAAAAAGGAUGGGAUAUCCAAAAAAGAGUCAAACCCAGGUGGUAAGCAGGAUGUCUUUUUUUCAAUAUCUAUUUUAUUAUUGCCUUUUCCCAAAUCAUAAAGUUUUAUUUUGUUUUUUGAGCUCAUACAGACCUAGGUUAAUGUUUUUCUGAUCAGUUUCAUUUUUUGACUGUGGAGUUUUUAAACAUUGCAAUGGAGAUUUCACCUGUGUAAAGCUACAAGGCCUUUACUAUUGUCUUAUGAGUUGUAUGUUAUGUGUGCACACUUGUGUUUUGUGUUGUAUGUCUGUAUGUGUGUAUGUCCAUAUAUUAUAUAGGAGGAACACUCAUGAAAAAAUGGAUCCGAAUUUUUUUUUAUUCACGUGAUUUAAAUGGUUUAAUUUAAAUUGGGUAAACAGCUGUUGAGGAUUGU